This 253-nucleotide ribosomal RNA is filed under the name uncultured bacterium. RNAcentral describes it as "partial 16S ribosomal RNA". It matches the Rfam family "Bacterial small subunit ribosomal RNA", at positions 524 to 776 of the family's 1533-position model. The record is from RNAcentral.
UACGUAGGGGGCAAGCGUUACUCGGAUUCACUGGGCGUAAAGAGCGUGUAGGCGGCUUGGUAGGUCCGCUGUGAAAACUCGAGGCUCAACCUCGAGAUGUCGGCGGAAACCACUUGGCUAGAGUCCGGAAGAGGAGAGUGGAAUUCCCGGUGUAGCGGUGAAAUGCGCAGAUAUCGGGAAGAACACCUAUGGCGAAGGCAGCUCUCUGGGACGGUACUGACGCUGAGACGCGAAAGCGUGGGGAGCGAACAGG